This 62-nucleotide transfer RNA is filed under the name Rhipiphorothrips cruentatus. RNAcentral describes it as "tRNA-Gly". Lineage: Eukaryota; Metazoa; Arthropoda; Insecta; Thysanoptera; Thripidae. The record is from RNAcentral.
UUGUAAAUAGUGUAACUGCACAUAUAUUUUCCAAAUAUAAAGUUAAUUUAUUUAUUUACAAA